Molecule: long non-coding RNA, 1243 nt
Organism: Brassica napus (rape)
Lineage: Eukaryota; Viridiplantae; Streptophyta; Magnoliopsida; Brassicales; Brassicaceae
Exons: 4
Source: RefSeq, a predicted model, not a curated record
GAUCUUUUUGUAGAAGCAGUUUUGAGUGAUGAGGUCUGACACGGAGGCCAAGCCGUGGACGUUAAUGGCAGCGUAGAAGCUGGAGAGAGCUUCAGAGUUCAGACACAGAUGUGGGAGCUGUUCGGGACGCAAUGUCGAUGGCUGUCUCCCACCACGCAGCUGCUUUUACAGACGGACUACAGGAUGUGAACUAUUGCCACCGAGUGAUGGUUGUUGGUUUCAAACUAUUGCCAGAAAGGUGAGUGAGAAGUUUCAUCUCAUUGGUUAAGUUUGCCAGCGGUGGAGAGAUCAACAAGAAGAUGGCGGCCUCUAGAUUAGGUUUAGUGUUAUUUUUUUUUUUUAAUUUUGUUUAAUGGUAUAAACCGGUUCAAAUAUUUUGUAAACCUGUUUUAAUAUAUACAUUCUAUGUUUAUCUAUAUUCUACAGUGAUGAGAGGACGAGAUCUUUGUAGAAGCAGUUUUGAGUGAUGAGGUCUGACACGGAGGCCAAGCCGUGGACGUUAAUGGCAGCGUAGAAGCUGGAGAGAGCUUCAGAGUUCAGACACAGAUGUGGGAGCUGUUCGGGACGCAAUGUCGAUGGCUGUCUCCCACCACGCAGCUGCUUUUACAGACGGACUACAGGAUGUGAACUACUGCCACCGAGUGAUGGUUGUUGGUUUCAAACUAUUGCCAGAAAGGUUUAUUCUUUGGACUGGACACCUGAGAUGAACCAGAUUGUCAGUGCAUCUCAACAAGACACGCUCAGUUAGAAGAGAAAAGUGAUGGAAAAGGGAAAGACACAACCAAAGGGCCAAUUGAUAAAGUGCUGAAAAUGCAAUCGUUUAGAUCUUGAAAAGAUACUGAAAAUGUGGGAGAUUGGCACAUUUCUCCAUUAGAGUUACUCCACAGUGGUCCUUUGCUUGAUUUUGAUCUUCUUCCAGGAUGUUGUUCUUCAAUGGCUGCCUUGAGUUUACCGUCUCUACCAAAUGUCCUUAUCUCAGACACUUGUGGAGAAGCUUAUGGUCUCUGUCAAAGCUGCAGAGCCUUUUCAACCAGAUAUCUUUCCAUACUUCACAGGCCAGGAAUCUAAAACAGAGACGCACAUAGCUACGAAAUGUUGUCUCUGAGACCCCGCAAAUGUUUGAGACAAACGACUGUUGUUAGUUUAUUUCACUAUGUAUCUCUACAGACUCAGCUUUGUAUUGACAAGCUUUUUCAUGAGAAGAACAAUAUGCAUUUACAAAACAGCUUCCUUAUUGUUUUCA